Molecule: long non-coding RNA, 1311 nt
Filed under: Chlamydomonas reinhardtii
Lineage: Eukaryota; Viridiplantae; Chlorophyta; Chlorophyceae; Chlamydomonadales; Chlamydomonadaceae
Description: long non-coding RNA (CREI_LNC000050)
Source: RNAcentral
ACAGAAUGCUUGGGCAGGCAGCGGCUGGUGGCAAGGGCGAGGCUAGGAACCUGCCGGCCCCGACACGGGCUGGACGCAGCGCUGGAGUCAGCCGGGACCGCUGCUAUGGGUGAAUGUGCAGUCAUGCGAGGUACGGGGGAAAGGGUGCACAAUGCUGCAGGGGGAGCUUCACAGAGAUAUUUGUCGAGCAAUUCCAGCGGUCGCUUUUCCGACGGGGGGCCCUCCGCCUGCGAGGUAUGCAUGUAUGGAUAUGGCACAUGCUAACAGGCAGCAAGCGACUGCUGGGCUUGAUAGGACGCGUUGCUGCAAUACAGGGCUUCGCAUUGCAUGGCCGACUCUUCACGAGUGAGCCGCUUGGGCCGGGAAAGGAGACAGAGACAUAAGGUUGAAGGGUGAACACCGGUGACAGAGAUGCGCGAACUGGGCUAGCGCCCGAGCAAGGGCGUCUACACGCCGCACGAAGCUUGUGCGAGUUCCUCCUCCACGGCAGUACCUCGGGCCUGCUCAGGCCUGCUCACGCCAACCGCACACGCACUCAGGCACUGCUUAAUGCAGCACCCUCUGUGACCCUGGCAACUGCAAACGAUUAGUAAGACACCACGUUGUGCGCCACAGUUGUGCACGACCAGGCAGUCCUGUAAAGCCCAGGCGCGGACUUCCGGCCACGCAAAAUAUCUUCGCCUCGGGCCUCAAAUUCCGGCGGUUUUGGUCCUGGACCCGCCAGGACCUUUAAACCCUGUGGCCCCAAAUACUCAGACAGGGCAUCCCUUCACAACUUAUCAGUGUUACAAGGUUUUGUGCGCAAAUAACUGGUAUGUUGCACUUGCCCAAAUGAAGCAAAUGCUCAGGGCGGAACUGCCCGAUCCGCGCAACUGCCGCUGCCGCUGCGCAGCCGCUGGCCCGCCAAGCAAGCCCAGUGGCGCUCCACGCGGCAGAACGGCACAGCUCAGCUCAACCCUUAGAGCAACGCUCGGAUGCCCACCCGACAACCAAGCCGUUGUCAGCAGCGCAUCCCACCCUCCUCCUGCCAGACCUGACCACCAACUUGCAGUUUCUCCGUGCCUAGCCCUCCUAAACCCGCAUCUACCUCUUAUCGAUCCCCGCCGUGCAUCACUCGCUGCCUGCCACCCAUCAUCCUCCACCCGCCAGUGUCGCCAGUCGCCCGGAGGCCCUGGCCGCCGGCCACACAGGCCGUUGCCGUUGCCGUUGCAGCCACAGCCGCCUCGCCGCCUCGUCCGGCCCACUCAGCACGCCCCUGCCGCUCCACUCCCGUUGUCAUUUCCCAGCCUUGGCCUGGCGGCCUCGGCCUCA